GACGAACGCUGGCGGCGUGCUUAACACAUGCAAGUCGAACGGAAAGGCCCUGCUUUUGUGGGGUGCUCGAGUGGCGAACGGGUGAGUAACACGUGAGUAACCUGCCCUUGACUUUGGGAUAACUUCAGGAAACUGGGGCUAAUACCGGAUAGGAGCUCCUGCUGCAUGGUGGGGGUUGGAAAGUUUCGGCGGUUGGGGAUGGACUCGCGGCUUAUCAGCUUGUUGGUGGGGUAGUGGCUUACCAAGGCUUUGACGGGUAGCCGGCCUGAGAGGGUGACCGGCCACAUUGGGACUGAGUAACGGCCCAGACUCCUACGGGAGGCAGCAGUGGGGAAUAUUGCACAAUGGGCGGAAGCCUGAUGCAGCAACGCCGCGUGCGGGAUGACGGCCUUCGGGUUGUAAACCGCUUUCGCCUGUGACGAAGCGUGAGUGACGGUAAUGGGUAAAGAAGCACCGGCUAACUACGU
Molecule: ribosomal RNA, 467 nt
Filed under: uncultured bacterium
Lineage: Bacteria
Description: partial 16S ribosomal RNA
Rfam family: Bacterial small subunit ribosomal RNA
Source: RNAcentral